Molecule: transfer RNA, 73 nt
Filed under: Camelus bactrianus (Bactrian camel)
Lineage: Eukaryota; Metazoa; Chordata; Mammalia; Artiodactyla; Camelidae
Also listed under: 1 other name
Rfam family: tRNA
About the family: Transfer RNA (tRNA) molecules are approximately 80 nucleotides in length.
Source: Rfam by way of RNAcentral
GAGGGUAUAGCUCAGUGAUAAGAGUGCCUGCUUAGCAUGCAGGAGGUCUUGGGUUCAAUCCCCGGUACCUCCA